Non-coding RNA from Triticum aestivum (bread wheat), 134 nucleotides. The record is from Rfam. NCBI's taxonomy places the organism in Eukaryota, Viridiplantae, Streptophyta, Magnoliopsida, Poales, Poaceae.
UAUGUACCCCCUCCGUCCGAAAAUACUUGUCAUCAAAUUGGAUAAAAAUGGAUGUAUCUAUAACUAAUAUAUGUCUAGAUACGUCUUUUUUAUCCAUUUUGAUGACAAGUAUUUCCGGACGGAGGGAGUAUGUU